RNAcentral lists this ribosomal RNA (497 nucleotides) under uncultured bacterium. RNAcentral describes it as "partial 16S ribosomal RNA". It matches the Rfam family "Bacterial small subunit ribosomal RNA", at positions 28 to 507 of the family's 1533-position model. The record is from RNAcentral.
GAUGAACGCUGGCGGCGUGCCUAAUACAUGCGAGUCGAGCGAACGGACGAGAAGCUUGCUUCUCUGAUGUUAGCGGCGGACGGGUGAGUAACACGUGGAUAACCUACCUAUAAGACUGGGAUAACUUCGGGAAACCGUAGCUAAUACCGGAUAAUAUUUUGAACCGCAUGGUUCAAAAGUGAAAGACGGUCUUGCUGUCACUUAUAGAUGGAUCCGCGCUGCAUUAGCUAGUUGGUAAGGUAACGGCUUACCAAGGCAACGAUGCAUAGCCGACCUGAGAGGGUGAUCGGCCACACUGGAACUGAGACACGGUCCAGACUCCUACGGGAGGCAGCAGUAGGGAAUCUUCCGCAAUGGGCGAAAGCCUGACCGAGCAACUCCGCGUGAGUGAUGAAGGUCUUCGGAUCGUAAAACUCUGUUAUUAGGGAAGAACAUAUGUGUAAGUAACUGUGCACAUCUUGACGGUACCUAAUCAGAAAGCCACGGCUAACUACGUG